UACGGAAGGUGGCAAGCGUUGUCCGGAUUUACUGGGUGUAAAGGGUGCGUAGGCGGGGCAGCAAGUUGGAUGUGAAAUCCUCGGGCUCAACUCGAGAACUGCAUUCAAAGCUGUUGCUCUUGAGUGCAGUAGAGGCAAGCGGAAUUCCCGGUGUAGCGGUGAAAUGCGCAGAGAUCGGGAGGAACACCAGUGGCGAAGGCGGCUUGCUGGGCUGAAGCUGACGCUGAGGCACGAAAGCAUGGGUAGCAAA
RNAcentral lists this ribosomal RNA (250 nucleotides) under uncultured prokaryote. RNAcentral's name for it is "partial 16S ribosomal RNA". It matches the Rfam family "Bacterial small subunit ribosomal RNA", at positions 524 to 772 of the family's 1533-position model. The record is from RNAcentral.